GACGAACGCUGGCGGCGUGCUUAACACAUGCAAGUCGAACGGUGAAGCGCUUUCCUUUUUGGUUGGUGUGGAUGAGUGGCGAACGGGUGAGUAACACGUGAGUAACCUGCCCCCUUCUUCUGGAUAACCGCAUGAAAGUGUGGCUAAUACGGGAUAUUCUGCGCCUGCUGCAUGGUGGGUGUGGGAAAGAUUGUGCCUUUGGGUGUGUUCGGUGGGGGAUGGGCUCGCGGCCUAUCAGCUUGCUGGUGGGGUGAUGGCCUACCAAGGCGGUGACGGGUAGCCGGCCUGAGAGGGUGGACGGUCACACUGGGACUGAGACACGGCCCAGACUCCUACGGGAGGCAGCAGUGGGGAAUAUUGCACAAUGGGCGCAAGCCUGAUGCAGCGACGCCGCGUGAGGGAUGGAGGCCUUCGGGUUGUGAACCUCUUUCGCCAGUGAAGCAGGCCUGCUCCUUGUGGGUGGGUUGACGGUAGCUGGAUAAGAAGCGCCGGCUAACUACGUG
This 503-nucleotide ribosomal RNA is filed under the name uncultured bacterium. RNAcentral's name for it is "partial 16S ribosomal RNA". It matches the Rfam family "Bacterial small subunit ribosomal RNA", at positions 28 to 507 of the family's 1533-position model. The record is from RNAcentral.